UCCUACGGGAGGCAGCAGUGGGGGAUAUUGCACAAUGGAGGAAACUCUGAUGCAGCAACGCCGCGUGAGGGAAGACGGUUUUCGGAUUGUAAAACUCUGUUGUUAGAGAAGAACAAGGAUGAGAGUAACUGUUCAUCCCUUGACGGUAUCUAACCAGAAAGCCACGGCUAACUACGUGCCAGCAGCCGCGGUA
RNAcentral lists this ribosomal RNA (193 nucleotides) under uncultured bacterium. RNAcentral describes it as "partial 16S ribosomal RNA". It matches the Rfam family "Bacterial small subunit ribosomal RNA", at positions 337 to 522 of the family's 1533-position model. The record is from RNAcentral.